This 774-nucleotide ribosomal RNA is filed under the name uncultured Neocallimastigales. RNAcentral describes it as "partial large subunit ribosomal RNA". It matches the Rfam family "Eukaryotic large subunit ribosomal RNA", at positions 24 to 636 of the family's 3401-position model. Lineage: Eukaryota; Fungi; Neocallimastigomycota; Neocallimastigomycetes; Neocallimastigales. The record is from RNAcentral.
UAUCUCUGUAGAGUCUGUAUAUCAAUAAGCGGAGGAAAAGAAACUAACAAGGAUUCCCUUAGUAACGGCGAGUGAAGCGGGAAGAGCUCAAAUUUGAAAUCUUCAAGGUUUUACCUUGACGAAUUGUAGUUUAAAGAAGUGUUUUCUGUUGAAGUUUUGGUAAAAGUUCUUUGGAAUAGGACAUCAUAGAGGGUGAGAAUCCCGUAUUUGACCAUUAUUUUCAGCUGUGUGAUACACUUUCAAAGAGUCGGAUUGUUUGGGAAUGCAGUCCAAAAUGGGUGGUAAAUUUCAUCUAAAGCUAAAUAUUGGCGAGAGACCGAUAGCGAACAAGUACCGUGAGGGAAAGAUGAAAAGAACUUUGAAAAGAGAGUUAAACAGUACGUGAAAUUGUCAAAAGGGAAGCGUUUGACACCAGUGUUGUUUUCUCGAAAAUCAAUUAAAAAGAGUUUGAUUUUGUUGUGUAUUGACCUUAACAGCUUGCAUUUCAAUUUUCUUGCUUUUUUUAAUGCACUUUUCGUUUAACAAGUCAACAUCAGUUUCUUUUGUUGUAAAAAGGUCAUUGGAAGGUGGCUUUCUUUUCGGAGAAAGUGUUUAUAGCCUUUGACUCCUGCAAUCGGAGAGACUGAGGUCUGCAGCGUAGAUCCUUCGGGGUUAGAUACAUUUGUGCUAAGUUAUAGCUUUUUAUAGACAACUUGUUGACUAUGAUUAGUCUUGUAGCUUACUCGCUUAUGCUAUUUUACCUACGCUUAGGAUGUUGAAGAUAUGCGCGACACG